Molecule: ribosomal RNA, 450 nt
Filed under: uncultured Glomeromycotina
Lineage: Eukaryota; Fungi; Glomeromycota
Description: SSU rRNA
Rfam family: Eukaryotic small subunit ribosomal RNA
Source: RNAcentral
AGCAGCCGCGGUAAUUCCAGCUCCAAUAGCGUAUAUUAAAGUUGUUGCAGUUAAAAAGCUCGUAGUUGAAUUUCGGGGUUAGUAAGUUGGUCGUGCCUAUGGUAUGCACUGGCUUUACUGAUUCCUCCUUCUUGAAGAACUGUAAUGUCAUUAAUUUGGUGUUGCAGGGAAACAGGACUGUUACUUUGAAAAAAUUAGAGUGUUUAAAGCAGGCUAACGCUUGAAUACAUUAGCAUGGAAUAAUGAAAUAGGACGUUUGAUCCUAUUUUGUUGGUUUCUAGGAUUGACGUAAUGAUUAAUAGGGAUAGUUGGGGGCAUUAGUAUUCAAUUGUCAGAGGUGAAAUUCUUGGAUUUAUUGAAGACUAACUACUGCGAAAGCAUUUGCCAAGGAUGUUUUCAUUAAUCAAGAACGAAAGUUAGGGGAUCGAAGACGAUCAGAUACCGUCGUAG